GCUUAUGGCCAUACCAAUUUGGCUAUGCCCGAUAUUGUCUGAUCUCGGAAGCUAAGCAGGUUUGGGCCUGGUUAGUACUUGGAUGGGAGACCGCCAGGGAAUACCAGGUGCUUUAAGCU
Carassius auratus (goldfish) is the source of this 119-nucleotide ribosomal RNA. Lineage: Eukaryota; Metazoa; Chordata; Actinopteri; Cypriniformes; Cyprinidae. The record is from Ensembl.